This 254-nucleotide ribosomal RNA is filed under the name uncultured bacterium. RNAcentral's name for it is "partial 16S ribosomal RNA". It matches the Rfam family "Bacterial small subunit ribosomal RNA", at positions 524 to 776 of the family's 1533-position model. The record is from RNAcentral.
UACGUAGGGUGCGAGCGUUGUCCGGAAUUAUUGGGCGUAAAGAGCUCGUAGGCGGUGUGUCACGUCGGCCGUGAAAACCUGCAGCUUAACUGUGGGCGUGCGGUCGAUACGGGCAUCACUGGAGUUCGGCAGGGGAGACUGGAAUUCCUGGUGUAGCGGUGGAAUGCGCAGAUAUCAGGAGGAACACCGGUGGCGAAGGCGGGUCUCUGGGCCGUAACUGACGCUGAGGAGCGAAAGCAUGGGGAGCGAACAGG